ACGGAUCUCUUGGUUCUGGCAUCGAUGAAGAACGCAGCGAAAUGCGAUAAGUAGUGUGAAUUGCAGAAUUCAGUGAAUCAUCGAAUCUUUGAACGCACAUUGCGCCCUUUGGUAUUCCAAAGGGCAUGCCUGUUCGAGCGUCAUUUGUACCCUCAAGCUUUGCUUGGUG
RNAcentral lists this ribosomal RNA (169 nucleotides) under Alternaria oxytropis. Its description in RNAcentral is "5.8S ribosomal RNA". The stretch from base 1 to 143 matches the Rfam family "5.8S ribosomal RNA". From Rfam's summary of the family: 5.8S ribosomal RNA (5.8S rRNA) is a component of the large subunit of the eukaryotic ribosome. It is transcribed by RNA polymerase I as part of the 45S precursor that also contains 18S and 28S rRNA. The record is from RNAcentral. Lineage: Eukaryota; Fungi; Ascomycota; Dothideomycetes; Pleosporales; Pleosporaceae.